GACGAACGCUGGCGGCGUGCCUAACACAUGCAAGUCGAACGGAGAAUUAGCAAUAAUUCUUAGUGGCGAACGGGUGAGUAACGCGUAGACAACCUACCCUUUAGAUGGGGACAACACCGCGAAAGUGGUGCUAAUACCGAAUAUUGCUUGAGAAGCGCAUGCUUCUCAAACUAAAGAUGGCCUCUAUAUAUAAGCUAUCGCUAAAGAAUGGGUCUGCGUCUGAUUAGUUAGUUGGUGGGAUAAAAGCUCACCAAGGCAACGAUCAGUAGCCGGUCUGAGAAGAGGAACGGACACACUGGGACUGAGACACGGCCCAGACUCCUACGGGAGGCAGCGGUGGGGAAUCGUCCGCAAUGGACGAAAGUCUGACGGAGCAACGCCGCGUGAGUGAUGAAGGUUUUCGGAUCGUAAAACUCUGUUGUUAAGGACGAAUGUAUAGAUUGUGAAUAAUGGUUUAUAAUGACGGUACUUAACGAGGAAGCCACGGCUAACUACGUGCCAGCAGCCGCGGUAA
RNAcentral lists this ribosomal RNA (514 nucleotides) under uncultured bacterium. Its description in RNAcentral is "partial 16S ribosomal RNA". It matches the Rfam family "Bacterial small subunit ribosomal RNA", at positions 28 to 523 of the family's 1533-position model. The record is from RNAcentral.